Molecule: ribosomal RNA, 407 nt
Filed under: uncultured bacterium
Lineage: Bacteria
Description: partial 16S ribosomal RNA
Rfam family: Bacterial small subunit ribosomal RNA
Source: RNAcentral
AUUGAACGCUGGCGGCAGGCCUAACACAUGCAAGUCGAGCGGAGCGGCGGACGGGUGAGUAAUGCCUAGGAAUCUGCCUGGUCGUGGGGGAUAACGUCCGGAAACGGGCGCUAAUACAGCAUACUAGCAGAUGAGCCUAGGUGGGAGUAGCUAGUUGGUGGGGUAAAGGCCUACCAAGGCGACGAUGCGGAACUGGUCUGAGAGGAUGAUCAGUCAAACUGGAACUGAGAAACGGUCCAGACUCCUACGGGAGGCAGCAGUGGGGAAUAUUGGACAAUGGGCGCAAGCCUGAUCUAGCCAGGCCGCGUGUAUGAAGAAGGUCUUCGGAUUGUAAAGCACUUUAAGUUGGGAGGCGUUACUAACAGAAUAAGCACCGGCUAACUCCGUGCCAGCAGCCGCGGUAAUUC